Molecule: long non-coding RNA, 2567 nt
Filed under: Taeniopygia guttata (zebra finch)
Lineage: Eukaryota; Metazoa; Chordata; Aves; Passeriformes; Estrildidae
Description: lncRNA (ENSTGUG00000027576.1)
Source: RNAcentral
GCGGCGUGAGGGCGGCAGCGGCUGCGGCUGCUCCGCCCUGCGCUCCGUGCCCCGGUGACAUCUCGCUCCUCGUCUCCCGCGGCAUCCUCUGCACAGCUCUUUGCUACACCGGGCACUGCUCCGUGUCCGGUCGUGAGCUGCCGCGUGGGAGUGUGAAAAUGUGUUCAUCCUUCCCCAGGGAUGCUCCUUCUCGUUCCUAAUUCUUUGCGCUCGUUUGAGCUUUAGCUGCGUUCAGACCUGGUUUUCCCGUCCCCUUAGAGGAAAAGUCUUGGCCCCAGUGCAGAUUUAUCAGAGGAACCAGAGGCAGUGCCUGUACUGGAGCCUUCCCACAAGUUUCCAAGGAGAGCCUGCCCUUCUCAGACAGCUGCCAGAAGGUGGCUUGGAGGCACGAGAAGGACAAGGUGAUAUCCAUCAUCUGUGAGGACAAGCUGUGGUGGGACCAACAGGAGCCUUGCCUGGAGGAGGGGAGUGUCCUCGUGGGCCAAGGGAAGAGCAGUGAGAACCAUUUACUGUGACUUUAGCAAGGCCUGUGACAAAGCUCCCCAUGGUAUCCAGAGCUGUUUGAGAAGUGGAUCACACUCCCCAGUCCCUCCCUGUCUGAGUCAUUUUCCCCUGCUGUGCUUCCAUGGGGAAUGAAGUGCUGAAGACUGACUGUUUGAUUCAGAGGGCAGUAAGAGCCUUUUGGUCUGGAAGCCAUUUCCCCAGCCUUUCUAGACUGAUCCCAGCAUGAAGCAUCCUUAUGUCCAGUGUUUCAUCCCAUUGUGCUGAAAUGAAACAUUGAUGUUUGUGAACAUCUGUAGACAAUAUUGACAAUUUUGGAAAUUGAAAACAAAACACCCAAAAUAUAUCUGUGUGCUCAUUGGAACAAUGAGUUCUAGACUGAAUGUGUUUUUGUUUCUCACACUGAACAAAAGAGCAGUAUUUAGUCAAAAGUAUUGUUGGUGUCCCUGCUGGACCCUAACAUUAUCUUAUUCCUGAAAAACUUGCUGAGGAAAUUUGAAUGUUACAAGAAUGGGAGGAUAUGGUUGUAAGCUCUGUUCCAUCCUGUGUUGUUUUGGACCCUGGCCAUCAGGAAACAUUUAGUCUAUCUCAGAGAUGAAACACUUUCUCUUCAGAAGUAGUAUUAUGAGCAAGAUGUGUAAAUAAUCUGUGGCAAGCAGUGACUUUGUUACAGAAAGGGACACCAUCCCAACUUUUCCUUUCUUUGAUGAAAUUUUAAAGAGAGAUUUCUACAAACGAUGUGCCAGAGGGGAAUUUGCAAGGUUUGCAUUGACCUACAUAAACCCUAGUUGAACAUAAAAGCAGAUUAAAAGUUGUUUCACUCUGCUUCUGUCACCCUUUGUACUUUAUUAACCACUGAUCUUUAUUCUUAGUUAAUUCACAUAUGUUUAAUGCAGCAUUGCAAAUAUUUUUCCUCACAUCCUAAAGUAUUCAUAAAAAUAAGUCUGGGUGAGAAUAUUUGAAAGAGCAUUGUUUGUAAUUUUCUUGCCUCUGCACAGCUGUGUGUCUAGAAACUGGAAACACAGGCUUCUCUGUACUGCAGAGGAAUGGAAAUAAAUCAUAAUGCAUACUCUUUCAAAAGGAAUUAUGUAUCCUGGAGUAUCUCAGAUCAGGAAAACAUUGUGUUGCAUAGCUGGAGUUUUAUUUCAAAAGAUUAGCUCUAUACAGAUAUUCGCUUUUGUAUCUUAACUAGUUAUUUUACUGAAUGUGUCUGAUUUGGAUGAAAAGUUAUGUGGUUGACCUGAUCGAUUCAUGAGCCAUGAGUUGGUGGAGGGGAAGCAGGGAAAGGACAGUUUGAAGCAAAGGAAACAGAAAACCUUAUGGAGAAAGAAGACCAAGAUUGCCACAUAAUUCUAUGACUAAUUAUUCUCAAGAAUAUGUUUUUGGAGAAACAGGAUGAAAGGCAAAGUAAUACCUUUGAAAUAAUUUUGGAAGCCCAGCAUCAAAUCAAUUGUGCAACUAAAUUAUCAUCACAUUAUAAUAAUUCAGACACUUUUUCUUAAAAGCAGUUUUAAUAUGAAAUAUUUUAUGGUGGUUUGUGGGAAUCCGGAGCUUCCCUCUGGUUGCCCUGGAAGGUCUGGGUCCCUGGCAGGGGGUCAGGAACCCCCCCUAUACAGAGCCCCGAGAGACACUGUCUCUGAUAUCUGUCCAUGGAAAAGAGUUUUCAAUCUUACAGGAUGAAUUACAAGCUCUGGGUGUUUGAUAUAAGUAAUAAUUAAGUGUUGCACGGGUGCAAAAGUAAAAUUUCAGGAUUCUAGAUUAGGGGUCCAAAGGGGACAAGAUGGAAGAAAUUGGGUGUGUCUUGUCCUUUUUCUUCUUCUUCAUGCCCUCCAUGUUUCACUGUAAUGUUGGCAUUUUUCUAUUGGUUUAGGCUGGGGGCACACUGUUCAACGUAGGUGACAGAUAUUGGCACAUUAUUGUAAAUAUAGCACAGGUAGUUUCUGGUGUAUAAUGUUUGUAACAUCCCACUGGGGGCAGAGCCUCACACGCUGCCCUGCAGGACAGACCUGAGGCAGGGCAGCAGAACAUGUUAGAGAUAAACAGAAUAAACAACCUUGAAAACAGCA